CCUGCAGUCGACGGUAACAGGAAGCACUUGCUGCUUCGCUGACGAGUGGCGGACGGGUGAGUAAUGUCUGGGAAACUGCCUGAUGGAGGGGGAUAACUACUGGAAACGGUAGCUAAUACCGCAUAACGUCGCAAGACCAAAGAGGGGGACCUUCGGGCCUCUUGCCAUCGGAUGUGCCCAGAUGGGAUUAGCUAGUAGGUGGGGUAACGGCUCACCUAGGCGACGAUCCCUAGCUGGUCUGAGAGGAUGACCAGCCACACUGGAACUGAGACACGGUCCAGACUCCUACGGGAGGCAGCAGUGGGGAAUAUUGCACAAUGGGCGCAAGCCUGAUGCAGCCAUGCCGCGUGUAUGAAGAAGGCCUUCGGGUUGUAAAGUACUUUCAGCGGGGAGGAAGGCGAUAAGGUUAACAACCUUGUCGAUUGACGUUACCCGCAGAAGAAGCACCGGCUAACUCCGUGCCAGCAGCCGCGGUAAUACGGAGGGUGCAAGCGUUAAUCGGAAUUACUGGGCGUAAAGCGCACGCAGGCGGUCUGUCAAGUCGGAUGUGAAAUCCCCGGGCUCAACCUGGGAACUGCAUUCGAAACUGGCAGGCUAGAGUCUUGUAGAGGGGGGUAGAAUUCCAGGUGUAGCGGUGAAAUGCGUAGAGAUCCGGAGGAAUACCGGUGGCGAAGGCGGCCCCCUGGACAAAGACUGACGCUCAGGUGCGAAAGCGUGGGGGAGCAAACAGGAUUAGAUACCCUGGUAGUCCACGCCGUAAACGAUGUCGACUUGGAGGUUGUGCCCUUGAGGCGUGGCUUCCGGAGCUAACGCGUUAAGUCCAACCGCCUGGGGAAUUACGGCCGCCAAGGUUUAAAAACUCAAAUGAAAUUGACGGGGG
Molecule: ribosomal RNA, 880 nt
Filed under: uncultured bacterium
Lineage: Bacteria
Description: bacterial SSU rRNA
Rfam family: Bacterial small subunit ribosomal RNA
Source: RNAcentral